GACGAACGCUGGCGGCGUGCUUAACACAUGCAAGUCGAACGGAAAGGCCCUGCUUUUGUGGGGUGCUCGAGUGGCGAACGGGUGAGUAACACGUGAGUAACCUGCCCUUGACAAUGGGAUAACUUCAGGAAAAUGGGGCUAAUACCGGAUAGGAGCUCCUGCUGCAUGGUGGGGGUUGGAAAGUUUCGGCGGUUGGGGAUGGACUCGCGGCUUAUCAGCUUGUUGGUGGGGUAGUGGCUUACCAAGGCUUUGACGGGUAACCGGCCUGAGAGGGUGACCGGCCACAUUGGGACUGAGAUACGGCCCAGACUCCUACGGGAGGCAGCAGGGGGGAAUAUUGCACAAUGGGCGGAAGCCUGAUGCAGCAACGCCGCGUGCGGGAUGACGGCCUUCGGGUUGUAAACCGCUUUCGCCUGUGACGAAGCGUGAGUGACGGUAAUGGGUAAAGAAGCACCGGCUAACUACGUG
RNAcentral lists this ribosomal RNA (468 nucleotides) under uncultured bacterium. Its description in RNAcentral is "partial 16S ribosomal RNA". It matches the Rfam family "Bacterial small subunit ribosomal RNA", at positions 28 to 507 of the family's 1533-position model. The record is from RNAcentral.